Molecule: non-coding RNA, 109 nt
Filed under: Clostridium pasteurianum
Lineage: Bacteria; Bacillati; Bacillota; Clostridia; Eubacteriales; Clostridiaceae
Also listed under: 1 other name
Description: SAM-I sequence
Rfam family: SAM riboswitch aptamer (S box leader)
About the family: The SAM riboswitch is found upstream of a number of genes which code for proteins involved in methionine or cysteine biosynthesis in Gram-positive bacteria. The SAM riboswitch acts at the level of transcription termination control.
Source: RNAcentral
CUCUUAUCGAGAGAGGUGGAGGGAAAUGGCCCUAUGAAACCCGGCAACCAGUGUGUUAUUUUCACAUUAAGGUGCCAAUUCCCGCAGAUAGAUUUCUGCAAGAUAAGAG